CAAGGACUCUGUACGCACGUGCGAGCUUCCCCUUUUAAGCCUCUCCCACCCCUUCUCUCUCUUCCAUCUCUGUUCCCGGCCAGGCCAACACCCACUCCUCUCUUUGUUCCCAUUCCCGGUAACUCCAUGUUGUGUCUUUUGUGAUUCAUCGCCAGAAGCAGCUACAAACAACAGCGUAGACGCCAGCUGAUGAGCGAGGAGGGUUCUGGGAAGUUGUUGGGACCAAGGCUUCAGGAUCGUCUUGUACCUUUCUUGUGGAUCUGAAAAGAGGUUUUCCUGUUUCUGUGAGGAGACACUACGUCCCAGGAAACUUAUAAAAGAGAGCAUUCACCUGAGGGCUGGCUUACAGCUUCAGACGGUUGUGGUGAUACCUUUUUUGUACAAAUAAAAGCUGUCUGGGGGUCAGAGGAUGGAGCCUGCCACUAGCUAACCAUAGAGGUCUGGAGGUCUGCACAGACAGACAGAAACAGGAUAUAAGCAGGGACAAACAGGAAAUCGCUCUCUUCUCUGCUGAGACACUAAGGAGAGUGCCCUGGGGGGCCCUGGUGGAGCUGUCAAUGACACAGAGCAGAUGUGCAUGGAGGAGUCGGAGAAAGCCAGUAACACUGAUCAUCGCCGGUGGCUUCUGAAACAUUACAGAUCUGUGUGAGGCCAAAUUUUCUUCAACUACUUCAACCGAAACAAUGUCUCAUAUGAGAUUGGAUGCAGAACCCAGCCUGGGACCACAGCUGCUUUCCAUUAAUGCGACAUUAAAGAAACUUAUAAAAAUGUAAAACAAUGUCACACUUCUCCCUGAUAUUUUCAUUAAAAGUAUCUUAUUCAUUUUGCUAUGCAAAAA
Molecule: long non-coding RNA, 838 nt
Organism: Mesocricetus auratus (golden hamster)
Lineage: Eukaryota; Metazoa; Chordata; Mammalia; Rodentia; Cricetidae
Exons: 5
Source: RefSeq, a predicted model, not a curated record